UACGUAGGUGGCAAGCGUUGUCCGGAAUUACUGGGCGUAAAGGGCGCGUAGGCGGUCUGCUAAGUUGGAUGUGAAAACUCUGGGCUUAACCCAGAGCCUGCAUUCAAUACUGACAGGCUAGAGUUCUGGAGGGGAUAGCGGAAUUCCUGGUGUAGCGGUGAAAUGCGUAGAUAUCAGGAGGAAUACCGGUGGCGAAAGCGACUCUCUGGACGGUAACUGACGCUGAGGCACGAAAGCGUGGGGAGCAAACAGG
Molecule: ribosomal RNA, 253 nt
Filed under: uncultured bacterium
Lineage: Bacteria
Description: partial 16S ribosomal RNA
Rfam family: Bacterial small subunit ribosomal RNA
Source: RNAcentral